GCGAGUGGCGAACGGGUGAGUAACGCGUGAGGAACCUGCCUCAAAGAGGGGGACAACAGUUGGAAACGACUGCUAAUACCGCAUAAGCCCACAGGUCGGCAUCGACCGGAGGGAAAAGGAGCAAUCCGCUUUGAGAUGGCCUCGCGUCCGAUUAGCUAGUUGGUGAGGUAACGGCCCACCAAGGCAACGAUCGGUAGCCGGACUGAGAGGUUGAACGGCCACAUUGGGACUGAGACACGGCCCAGACUCCUACGGGAGGCAGCAGUGGGGAAUAUUGCACAAUGGGGGAAACCCUGAUGCAGCGACGCCGCGUGAGCGAAGAAGUAUUUCGGUAUGUAAAGCUCUAUCAGCAGGGAAGAAGAAAUGACGGUACCUGACUAAGAAGCACCGGCUAAAUACGUGCCAGCAGCCGCGGUAAUACGUAUGGUGCAAGCGUUAUCCGGAUUUACUGGGUGUAAAGGGAGCGCAGGCGGAAGGCUAAGUCUGAUGUGAAAGCCCGGGGCUCAACCCCGGUACUGCAUUGGAAACUGGUCAUCUAGAGUGUCGGAGGGGUAAGUGGAAUUCCUAGUGUAGCGGUGAAAUGCGUAGAUAUUAGGAGGAACACCAGUGGCGAAGGCGGCUUACUGGACGAUAACUGA
This 638-nucleotide ribosomal RNA is filed under the name uncultured Lachnospiraceae bacterium. RNAcentral describes it as "bacterial SSU rRNA". It matches the Rfam family "Bacterial small subunit ribosomal RNA", at positions 91 to 743 of the family's 1533-position model. Lineage: Bacteria; Bacillati; Bacillota; Clostridia; Lachnospirales; Lachnospiraceae. The record is from RNAcentral.